This 3618-nucleotide long non-coding RNA is filed under the name Canis lupus familiaris (dog). Its description in RNAcentral is "lncRNA (ENSCAFG00000054559.1, ENSCAFG00845002610.1)". Lineage: Eukaryota; Metazoa; Chordata; Mammalia; Carnivora; Canidae. The record is from RNAcentral.
UUUUUUUUUUUUCCAUUGAGUCAGUCUUUUAGAAUGAUACAUUUUCCUAGAUUAAUUACUACAUCUUUGGAUAAUAUUCUUUGCUGGAGAACAAGAAAAUGAUUGAUUAAAACUGGCUCCAUGUGCACAACAGAAAUGAGCCUAUAUCGAUGAUAAAAAACCUAUUGUAGUUGAUGUUUUGGUAGACAGUAAGGCACACAAAAUAUUUUUUUCUGAAUAGAAUGCUCUCACAAAGUAAGAGCUAGAUGCAUUUGUAAUUUUUUCUCUCUUCAGCUGACUUUGUUCCUACUUGUUUUACUGGUUUUUGUUUUUCUCUGUAUUCAGAAUGGACUGACAUGCAUAGCAAACCCUUCAAGGACUACCUAAAUAGCAGGAAAAUGCAGGGUUACAUGACUGAUGAAUACUUAGUGAUUAGACCUAAAUACAAGUCACCCUAAGUAUUCUUGGAUAUUUUUAUAGUGUCUUUCCCCUACUGACCAGUCAAAUCAAUUCUGGACUACCUAAUAUGGUGGUAUUAUCGACAUAAUGGUCUAUCAUCAACUGAUUUUAUACUGUUGCUUCAUUCAAUACAUCCCAUUUUAACUAAACCAUGCUCUUUUCCUAGACCUACUGAUCUCUCCUGGUAGGUUCACUGUUUUUCUUCCCUCAUGUUUUGAUUUUUUCACUCCUACUCCUAAAUCCCUGGCAGGAGGCAGCUCCCAAGAGUCAAUUUUCAGCCAUAACUCAUCCUUCAUCUGUGUUCCCUCCCACAAAAGCUAUUCCAUUCUUACAACCUCAAGUGUUAUCUGUGUCCCUCUGGAAUUUCAGGUGAGAAACCAUGAAGCCUUGCUGGACAUCUUUUUUUCACACUCACUCACAUGUGAAAUUCUAAGGUUUCCCCGGUGAGCUCUUCACAACAUCAUUGUGACCUUGUUCUUUCCAUUCUCCCCACUCUAGGUAUCAUAACUCCAUACAGUGCUGCCAUCUAAAACUCAAAAUAUACCAGAAAUUCCAAAAUUUCAGAGUUUAAACUACAUCUCUCAAUUUGUGUCUCACACCUAAAUUAUCAACAAUUAUCACCAUUUUAACAUUGCAUGAAAAAUGCAAUAUAUGUGGAUCAAAAGGCAUGUCCAACCCAGAGGCAAAGCCCAUGAGUGGACAAGGUAGGCGGCAGGAAGCUACAGAGAUAGGAUUUUUGGCAAGAUCUUGAGAUGUGGAGAAUACCGUCACUGGAAUACCCAUCCUUCGGAUUUACAGAAUGGAUUGGAUAUUUAUUGACAAGUGUAAAAGCCAGACUACCACAGAGGAAUCUACACAGAAUACAAUGAGGCCUGGAGAUAAUGUUUGAUAAUCAUGUUCUCAUUAUUGAUUCAUAUGAUUCAUUGUUCUACUAAGAUUAAUUUCAAAGGUUGCUACCCCAGACUCCUUCUAAUUGCUCUGCUGUUCCAUCCCAGUAACCUACUUUUAUCCACCUCCCCAUUCACAAGGAAUGUCCCUAUUCCCUACCACACCCCCCCCCCUUUUCUUUUGAAAUGACAAGCUUGAUUUUUACAUCUUCUCAAAACCUGUGUCAGGUCUUAACCUCCUCCAGGAUGGUUUCACAGAAGCAAUAGAGCAAAGAAGUUAUAAGCUAGAGCUGUGUAGCAGAAUGCCUGGGUUCAAAAGUUGUCCACCCUCAUGUUCUACAGUGUAGUGUUGGGCAAAUUGUUGGACUUCUCUGAGUUUCUAACUUUUUAUCUGUUAAAAAAAAUGUGGCAAAGAUAGAGGGGUACAAAGAGUACCAAUUCCAAGGGUUACUACAAAUAUUCAAUGAGAUAAUCCAUGUGAAAAGCUGAGCACGGAGCCAGGCACAGAAUAUAUAAACUAUUAAGCUAGAUAUCAUCAUUAGUAUCAUUAUUUUUCUCCUUAUCCCUGAGAGUUUUUCUUCUUUUCUGAAUUGCUGUAAUACAUCAAAAUUUUGAAGUAUUCUGGAACUUCCUAAUUCAAAAUCAGGUAGGCUGAUAAUUCAUUGUGUACACAUAUCUUGCUCUGCCAGUGAGUUUAAGUUUUAAGGGCAGAAACCAUGUCCUCAAUUCUUUGUUGUUCCUCCUAAUGAUUACAUUAUUAGUGCUGUUAGUGACAAUAGUCAUGAAGCGGAGUACUUAUCAUUUUUAACACAGUGGAUGCAGGGGGUCAUUUUAACAUUGCCAGAAAGGGGUUACCAUCUACUUUUUAGGGGUAAGGAAACAAAAGCAGAAUAGGUUAUUAAACAGAGAGCAAUGCACAAAACACGUGCUUUCAUGCUUUCAAAAUUCACUUCUAUAACCUAGCCAGAGCCAACGACAUAAUAGAAUGAUCUAAAAUGCAACCCAUCACUAAACAUUGUUUAACAGCUUGUUUUGUGAUAGCACUGCACGAGGUACUACUGCCAUAAAGAUAAGCAGAACCUGGUUCCUAACCUUGAAGGGCUUAUGGUUUUAAGUGGCAAAGCAAGAAAAAUUAAGCAAACAACAAGCAUAUUUGAUUAUUACAUUAGAUCCCUGAUGCUCUGAAAACACAGAAGAACAGCAUUUGGGGAGGUAAAUGGACAUUCACAAAGCUUUCUGGGCAGAAGGAAGAAAUAUACAGAGGUGUGGGAUAGGGUGGGAAGGGCAUAGUAUGCCACUUAGGGAAGCACAAAAAGAGUCCAGAUAAAUGUCUGGGGGAGGUGACAAAUGUCAGUGGUGACAACUCAUUAGUGAUGAGAAAGCACACAAGGGUUUUAAGCAGUUGGGAAGGGGUGGGCCUGCAUGAAUGGAGAAGGCAACAGCAUGAUCAGAUUUGAAUCUAGAACCAAGUACUUCAGAAGUCAUUUGGAAGACAGAUUGCAAAGAGCAACUUUGGAGUCUAUAUUAGUAUAAGAGAGAAAUGAUAAUGACCUAAACCAAGAUACUGGUAGGGGGAAUUAAAAUAGGGGGAAAGGUGAGAGAUUUUUAAAUUUAAAUUCCAUUUAGUUAACACAUAUCGUCUUACUAGCUUUAGUCGUAGAAUUUGGUGAUCAUCAGUUGCUCAUAAUGUCCAGUGCUCAUUACAUCAAGUGCCCUUCUUACUGCCCAUUACCCAGUUGCCCCAUCCGCUGACCCACUUCCCCUCCAGCAACCCUCAGUUUGUUCCCUAGAGUUAAGAGUUUCUUAAGGUUUGCCUCCCUCUCUGCUCUGUUUUUAUCUUAUUUUUCCUUCCUUUCCCCUGUGUUUAUCUAUUUUGUUUCUUAAAUUCCACAUACGAGUGAAAUCACAUGGUAUUUGUCUUUCUCUGACUUAUUUUGCUUAGCAUAAUACCCUCAGUUCCACUCAUGUCAAAAUGAUUUCAUUCUUUUGAUGGCUCUGUAAUAUUCCACUGUACGUGUAUACUACAACUUCUUUAUCCAUUCAUAAAGAGAAAUUUAAAGAUAUAAACAACUAUGAAUUAUGAUGGAUAAAUCUAGAAAGAGGCCAAAUAAUUAUCUUGGAAUAUUCUGCUUUCAUCCAUAGAUUAUAUCUCUAAUUUUGCGGCUAUUAUGAAAUAAAGUAUUAAUAGAAAAAAAUUCUUGAACAACUCAAGAAAGCCAACUGCCACACAUGACUAUUACCUCUUAACUUUGCUUCUUAAAAUAAUAACAAAGCUUAUCCAGGACUCUAGAAC